CAUGGAGAAAAAAAUUUGUGUCGUGAUAGACUGAUAAUUGGCUUAUCAGACAUUAGAGCGAUUGUUAAUAAAGUAAAAUCUUACAUUAGUAAAUGCUGCUGAAUACUGUAGAGCUGCAAAACCAAGUCGAAAACAAGCUAAACAAAUACGAGUAAGAAGUAGUAAUAAUAGAACUAACACAAUUAAGCGGAGUGGACACAGUCAAAUCAAAAAGGGAAUGUUUAUUAGUCAUUUGAAAUUUAGUAAAAAAAGUGGGCAACAUUUAUAUACUAUCAAAUCUCAAGCGCAACAGCAGUUUAAUACUUUUUAGCAUUCUAGAAAUUCAAAGUACACCAAAUUCUGUGAAAAGAAAACUUACAUAUAAUAGUAGGCCAGAUUUCCUUACAAAAAUAUUAAUUCUAGUUGUCAAUCUAUGUAAUAAUACAGUAAAUCGCCAGUUAAUUUUCAAUUAGAUGAUGAAGAGUUAGAUCAUAAUUUUAAAAGUUUAACUGAUAUCUCUUCUACAUCUAUAAAAAUUUUCAAAACACUUCAUUAUAUUAAUUAUAAAAAAGCUGUGAAAAGUCAAGUAAAAUUUAAACAAGUAUCACAAAAUGAAACAGAAAGUAGAAUUAAGCAUCAUUUAGCUCAAGUUCUAUCAACAUAAAAGGAAAUGAAAAGCUAGAUAUUACUACUGGCAUAAUUAUUAUCAUUCAUUUAUUCUAAUUUUUGAUAUCAUAAAUCUAUAAGUUUAUUUAAUAGUAUAUAAUUUAUUAAAUACAUUUUUUUGCUAUUUAUUUGUUUAA
Long non-coding RNA from Daktulosphaira vitifoliae (grape phylloxera), 782 nucleotides. RefSeq lists it as uncharacterized. Lineage: Eukaryota; Metazoa; Arthropoda; Insecta; Hemiptera; Phylloxeridae. The transcript is spliced from 4 exons. The record is from RefSeq and is a predicted model, not a curated record.